RNAcentral lists this microRNA precursor (84 nucleotides) under Bombyx mori (domestic silkworm). RNAcentral's name for it is "mir-2807 microRNA precursor family". It matches the Rfam family "mir-2807 microRNA precursor family". Lineage: Eukaryota; Metazoa; Arthropoda; Insecta; Lepidoptera; Bombycidae. The record is from Rfam by way of RNAcentral.
UUAUCUCAAAUUUGUAUAGAGUUGGAAAGUUUGCCAACGUUUGCCGCUAUGGGCGCUGUUCUAACUGCGUAACAGUUUGAGAUA